UAGCUAGUUGGUGAGGUAAAGGCUCACCAAGGCGACGAUCUGUAGCGGGUCUGAGAGGAUGAUCCGCCACACUGGAACUGAGACACGGUCCAGACUCCUACGGGAGGCAGCAGUGGGGAAUUUUGGACAAUGGGGGCAACCCUGAUCCAGCCAUGCCGCGUGAGUGAAGAAGGCCUUCGGGUUGUAAAGCUCUUUCGGCCGGGAAGAAAUCGCAUGGGCCAAUACCCUGUGCGGAUGACGGUACCGGCAUAAGAAGCACCGGCUAACUACGUGCCAGCAGCCGCGGUAAUACGUAGGGUGCGAGCGUUAAUCGGAAUUACUGGGCGUAAAGCGUGCGCAGGCGGUUUUGUAAGACAGGCGUGAAAUCCCCGGGCUCAACCUGGGAACUGCGUUUGUGACUGCAAGGCUAGAGUACGGCAGAGGGGGGUGGAAUUCCACGUGUAGCAGUGAAAUGCGUAGAGAUGUGGAGGAACACCAAUGGCGAAGGCAGCCCCCUGGGUCGAUACUGACGCUCAUGCACGAAAGCGUGGGUAGCAAACAGGAUUAGAUACCCUGGUAGUCCACGCCCUAAACGAUGUCAACUAGGUGUUGGGUGGGUAAAACCAUUUAGUACCGGAGCUAACGCGUGAAGUUGACCGCCUGGGGAGUAUGGCCGCAAGGUUAAAACUCAAAGGAAUUGACGGGGACCCGCACAAGCGGUGGAUGAUGUGGAUUAAUUCGAUGCAACGCGAAAAACCUUACCUACCCUUGACAUGUCCAGAAGCCUGAAGAGAUUUGGGUGUGCCCGAAAGGGAACUGGAACACAGGUGCUGCAUGGCUGUCGUCAGCUCGUGUCGUGAGAUGUUGGGUUAAGUCCCGCAACGAGCGCAACCCUUGUCGUUAAUUGCCAUCAUUCAGUUGGGCACUUUAACGAGACUGCCGGUGACAAACCGGAGGAAGGUGGGGAUGACGUCAAGUCCUCAUGGCCCUUAUGGGUAGGGCUUCACACGUCAUACAAUGGUCGGUACAAAGGGUUGCCAAGCCGCGAGGUGGAGCCAAUCCCAGAAAGCCGAUCGUAGUCCGGAUCGUAGGCUGCAACUCGCCUGCGUGAAGUCGGAAUCGCUAGUAAUCGUGGAUCAGCAUGUCACGGUGAAUACGUUCCCGGGUCUUGUACACACCGCCCGUCACACCAUGGGAGCGGGUUCCGCCAGAAGUAGGUAGCCUAACCGCAAGGGGGGCGCUUACCACGGCGGGGUUCGUGACUGGGGUGAAGUCGUAACAAGGUAGCCGUAGGGGAACCUGCGGCUG
This 1287-nucleotide ribosomal RNA is filed under the name metagenome. RNAcentral describes it as "bacterial SSU rRNA". It matches the Rfam family "Bacterial small subunit ribosomal RNA", at positions 242 to 1520 of the family's 1533-position model. The record is from RNAcentral.